Molecule: ribosomal RNA, 404 nt
Filed under: uncultured bacterium
Lineage: Bacteria
Description: bacterial SSU rRNA
Rfam family: Bacterial small subunit ribosomal RNA
Source: RNAcentral
UGGGGGAUAUUGCGCAAUGGGGGAAACCCUGACGCAGCAACGCCGCGUGAAGGAAGAAGGUUUUCGGAUCGUAAACUUCUUUAAGUGUGGAAGAAGAUGACGGUACACACAGAAUAAGCCACGGCUAACUACGUGCCAGCAGCCGCGGUAAUACGUAGGUGGCGAGCGUUGUCCGGAUUUACUGGGUGUAAAGGGCGUGUAGGCGGGCUUGCAAGUCAGAUGUGAAAUACCGGGGCUUAACCCCGGAGCUGCAUUUGAAACUGUAGGUCUUGAGUAUCGGAGAGGAAAGCGGAAUUCCUAGUGUAGCGGUGAAAUGCGUAGAUAUUAGGAGGAACACCAGUGGCGAAGGCGGCUUUCUGGACGAAAACUGACGCUGAGGCGCGAAAGCAUGGGGAGCAAACAGG